RNAcentral lists this ribosomal RNA (253 nucleotides) under uncultured bacterium. RNAcentral's name for it is "partial 16S ribosomal RNA". It matches the Rfam family "Bacterial small subunit ribosomal RNA", at positions 524 to 776 of the family's 1533-position model. The record is from RNAcentral.
UACGUAGGGGGCAAGCGUUAUCCGGAAUUACUGAGUGUAAAGGGAGCGUAGACGGUAAUGUAAGUCUGGAGUGAAAGGCGGGGGCCCAACCCCCGGACUGCUCUGGAAACUAUGUUACUAGAGUGCAGGAGAGGUAAGCGGAAUUCCUAGUGUAGCGGUGAGAUGCGUAGAUAUUAGGAGGAACACCAGUGGCGAAGGCGGCUUACUGGACUGUAACUGACGUUGAGGCUCGAAAGCGUGGGGAGCAAACAGG